UACGGAGGGUGCAAGCAUUAUCCGGAUUUACUGGGUUUAAAGGGUGUGUAGGCGGGUUUUUAAGUCAGUGGUGAAAUCUCCGGGCUCAACCCGGAAACUGCCAUUGAUACUAUUAGUCUUGAAUUUUGUUGAGGUAGGCGGAAUAAGUCAUGUAGCGGUGAAAUGCUUAGAUAUGACUUAGAACACCAAUUGCGAAGGCAGCUUGCUAAACAAACAUUGACGCUGAGGCACGAAAGCGUGGGGAUCAAACAGG
RNAcentral lists this ribosomal RNA (253 nucleotides) under uncultured bacterium. RNAcentral describes it as "partial 16S ribosomal RNA". It matches the Rfam family "Bacterial small subunit ribosomal RNA", at positions 524 to 776 of the family's 1533-position model. The record is from RNAcentral.